CAAAUUUUUAAUCAUCACUGCCAAUGUUGAAGCCAUUAAGACAAUUGCAUCACAGUUCGCACUGAUCUUCAAAAUGAAAAAUGACAAAGAUAGCAAACCAAAAGACCAAAACCCAAUUAUCAUUUCAUGACAAAUAAACAAAUAUAUAAUUUGAUUAGCAUAUUCCUACAAGCAUACAUUCAAAUGAUCACAAAAAUUGAGAUGCCAAUGAAAUUGAAAUGAAUUCAACCAUUAUAGUUGCUCCAAGAAAAAUUAUCACUUGCAAUGAUGAAGCCAUUAACUUGAACGCAAAUAAGUGGGGGAGAAUUGACUUCUCAAUGAUCAUUACAAUCAAACAUGCCAAAGUGAGCUAGACCCAAAAAAAUAUAUUGCUCCAUAAACAAGCAUAAGCUGAAAACAAUAUAAAUAAACAACUAUAGAACAUAAUAGAAGUC
This 434-nucleotide long non-coding RNA is filed under the name Actinidia chinensis (golden kiwifruit). Its description in RNAcentral is "long non-coding RNA (ACHI_LNC003038)". The record is from RNAcentral. Lineage: Eukaryota; Viridiplantae; Streptophyta; Magnoliopsida; Ericales; Actinidiaceae.